CCGGAAUAGCUCAGUCGGUAGAGCAGAGGACU
Molecule: transfer RNA, 32 nt
Filed under: Lembophyllum divulsum
Lineage: Eukaryota; Viridiplantae; Streptophyta; Bryopsida; Hypnales; Lembophyllaceae
Description: partial tRNA-Phe
Source: RNAcentral